CGGGGCCCGCACAAGCGGUGGAGCAUUGUGGUUUAAUUCGAAGCAACGCGAAGAACCUUUACCAGGUCUUGACAUCCCGAUGCUAUUUCUAGAGAUAGAAAGUUACUUCGGUACAUCGGUGACAGGUGGUGCAUGGUUGUCGUCAGCUCGUGUCGUGAGAUGUUGGGUUAAGUCCCGCAACGAGCGCAACCCCUAUUGUUAGUUGCCAUCAUUCAGUUGGGCACUCUAGCGAGACUGCCGGUAAUAAACCGGAGGAAGGUGGGAUGACGUCAAAUCAUCAUGCCCCUUAUGACCUGGGCUACACACGUGCUACAAUGGUUGGUACAACGAGUUGCGAGUCGGUGACGGCGAGCUAAUCUCUUAAAGCCAAUCUCAGUUCGGAUUGUAGGCUGCAACUCGCCUACAUGAAGUCGGAAUCGCUAGUAAUCGCGGAUCAGCACGCCGCGGUGAAUACGUUCCCGGGCCUU
RNAcentral lists this ribosomal RNA (467 nucleotides) under uncultured Streptococcus sp. RNAcentral's name for it is "bacterial SSU rRNA". It matches the Rfam family "Bacterial small subunit ribosomal RNA", at positions 916 to 1381 of the family's 1533-position model. The record is from RNAcentral. Lineage: Bacteria; Bacillati; Bacillota; Bacilli; Lactobacillales; Streptococcaceae.